GUAGGUUUGCUGGCAACGUUUCUAAAAUAUCAUAAAUAAAAAAGAAUCAGCAAAAUUGUCCACAUUGAUAUACUUAAUUCAGGCAGCUCUAUUUCCAAUAACUCGCAUGACGAAUUUAAAAUUUCUUGAUUCUCAAGGUCGGGCUUGUUGCAAGAAGGCUAGCUAAAGCUUUUAAUCAUUUUCGAUGUAGCAAGACAUGUAGCUUGCUCUCCGAUUCAGGUACUUGCAUUUCUCUUUUAGCUCACGAGAAAUUGUUUAACAUACAGGGGGUGGACUGUGCCGUUACUUUGGGUAGCCAUCAUAAGUUCCAAGCCAAAUUGCUCUUAUAUUUUGCUGACUUGCGUGUUCUGAAAAUGAACAUCAGAUGUGAGAGUUGUCAAAAGAAGGUGAGGAAAAUGUAGCAGACGAUUCAUGGAGUGUAUUCGAUCAACACAGACGCGAAUGAGGACAAGGUGGCCUGUUUGUAACCAUGCACGAGAGAGCAGGGAAAAAUUCAGAACUUUUCUGGGAGCAUGCUAAAUCCCAGUUGAUGAACGAGCAUAACCAGGCGGAGCACCAAAGCUAGAAGAUACAAUUUACUCCGAAUAAUGCUAAUGUUUUGGACUGUGACAAUAAAAAAUCUCAACUAAGCUUAACUGGAAGAAUUUGCUCAGAUGACAGGUUUGAAAUAAGUGGAGUUAAACCAAUCUAGGAACAUCGAUAUGUUCUUCACCUUCUCUGCCCUUUAAAAACCAUUAAUGUGGUGAUGUGCUGGUGGUGGUUCAGUCCAUUGCUGCAAUGAUGGCCCUGAAGUCAAGUUUACUUGUAGAGGAGGGCCCUGUGGCGUCAGAUUUGUGGAGAAGCCAAUGAGGCCAGUGCCAAACUGUGCUCCGCCACCAACUCCUUACGUUCAACCCUUUGCUCCACAGCCAAACUACUAUGUUCAUCGAGAGCCACGAAUGCCGGCAGCAAAUCCCUCGCCCUUGGUGCUCGCAGCAUGAUGUGACUAAAACCCUUUAAGCUAGUCUUCAGGUUCUAGGCUUCUUUUCUCCUUUGCU
Long non-coding RNA from Theobroma umbraticum, 1037 nucleotides. RefSeq lists it as uncharacterized. NCBI's taxonomy places the organism in Eukaryota, Viridiplantae, Streptophyta, Magnoliopsida, Malvales, Malvaceae. The record is from RefSeq and is a predicted model, not a curated record.